GAGUUUGAUCCUGGCUCAGGACGAACGCUGGCGGCGUGCUUAACACAUGCAAGUCGAACGGAGUUUAAGAGGAAGCUUGCGAAUCUUAAACUUAGUGGCGGACGGGUGAGUAACGCGUGGAUAACCUACCUGAAUGACUGGGACAACACCGGGAAACUGGUGCUAAUACCGGAUACGCUCAUCAUUGCGCAAGCGAAGGUGAGGAAAGGAGAAAUCCGCAUACAGAUGGGUCCGCGUCCCAUUAGCUAGUUGGCGGUGUAAGAGACCACCAAGGCGACGAUGGGUAGCCGGCCUGAGAGGGUGGACGGCCACACUGGAACUGAGACACGGUCCAGACUCCUACGGGAGGCAGCAGUGGGGAAUCUUCCGCAAUGGGCGAAAGCCUGACGGAGCAACGCCGCGUGAGUGAGGAAGGCCUUCGGGUCGUAAAACUCUGUCUUCAGGGAAGAAAAAAAUGACGGUACCUGAGGAGGAAGCCCCGGCUAACUACGUGCCAGCAGCCGCGGUAAAACGUAGGGGGCGAGCGUUGUCCGGAAUUACUGGGCGUAAAGGGCGCGUAGGCGGUUAUUUAAGUCAGAGGUGAAAACUACCGGCUCAACCGGUAGCCUGCCUUUGAAACUGGAUGACUUGAGGGCAGGAGAGGGGAGUGGAAUUCCCAGUGUAGCGGUGAAAUGCGUAGAUAUUGGGAGGAACACCAGUGGCGAAGGCGGCUCUCUGGCCUGUUUCUGACGCUGAGGCGCGAAAGCGUGGGGAGCAAACGGGAUUAGAUACCCCGGUAGUCCACGCCGUAAACGAUGGGUGCUAGGUGUAGGAGGUAUCGACCCCUUCUGUGCCGUAGUUAACACAAUAAGCACCCCGUCUGGGGAGUACGGCCG
RNAcentral lists this ribosomal RNA (875 nucleotides) under methanogenic bacterium enrichment culture clone Me_c30. RNAcentral's name for it is "bacterial SSU rRNA". It matches the Rfam family "Bacterial small subunit ribosomal RNA", at positions 9 to 888 of the family's 1533-position model. The record is from RNAcentral.